AUUGAACGCUGGCGGCAUGCCUUACACAUGCAAGUCGAACGGUAACGCGGGGCAACCUGGCGACGAGUGGCGAACGGGUGAGUAACACAUCGGAACGUGCCCAGUAGUGGGGGAUAGCCCGGCGAAAGCCGGAUUAAUACCGCAUACGACCUACGGGUGAAAGCAGGGGAUCGCAAGACCUUGCGCUAUUGGAGCGGCCGAUGGCAGAUUAGGUAGUUGGUGGGGUAAAAGCCUACCAAGCCGACGAUCUGUAGCUGGUCUGAGAGGACGACCAGCCACACUGGGACUGAGACACGGCCCAGACUCCUACGGGAGGCAGCAGUGGGGAAUUUUCCGCAAUGGGCGAAAGCCUGACGGAGCAAUACCGCGUGAGGGAGAAUGCCUAUGGGUUGUAAACCUCUUUUGUACGGAACGAAACGGUCCUUUCUAAUACAAGGGGCUAAUGACGGUACCGUAAGAAUAAGCACCGGCUAACUACGUG
RNAcentral lists this ribosomal RNA (481 nucleotides) under uncultured bacterium. RNAcentral describes it as "bacterial SSU rRNA". It matches the Rfam family "Bacterial small subunit ribosomal RNA", at positions 30 to 507 of the family's 1533-position model. The record is from RNAcentral.